CGCAUUCUCUCGCUGGUAUCUCACGGAUUUUGGUUGGCUGCGCACCUAUCAGACCAUGAAAACCAUUGUCGAUCAAGCCUCUAUUUCGACUGCAUCCUCUUAAUUUUUGUCAUGCUCUCGCUGAUGGGCUCAAUUUUUUUUUGCUUCGUUUUGCUCCUCACAUUGGUGUUCAGAAAAUCCAGUUCUCAAGGUUCAGAAUGAAAAGAACCCCUUUAAAAAUGGAUUUCGAUUAUGAUCUUGUGAUUACUACGAUCACAAGUAUCAAGAAAUGGGACUAAAUGUAAUAAGUGAGUUAGGUUGAAGGGUUAUUUUGCUAUUUGUAAUUCUGUAGGGAAAGUUUGUUUAUAAUUUCUGUUUUGUAUUGCCUUGUGGCAGGUUUCACAUAUGUAUUUGGCUACCUAUAAAGCCAUAUAUUCUCUCACUUCGAAAGGUUAGAAAAAUAUAAUACAAUUUUACCAAAUUUGCUUCUGUUGUUCCUCUCAUCUUCCUUCAUAUCCAUAUCUGAUCUUACAAGCAGGUUAAGGUCUGACCUCAUCAGAUUUGGGUGUUAUCAUUGGUAUCAGCCUCCGGUCCUGGUUCCCUUCCGUGUAUGCCCCUAUGCUACUACCACUACUCGUCUCUCUGCAAUGGAUGGCCAUGUUGCUGCGCUCAAGAAUUCCGUCACUUCCCUCCAUACCUUUAUGGCUUCCUUGGCUUCACUUCCUUCCUUGGUUGAUAAUGCGGUGGUGGAUACUCUACUUUAAGCAAUUCCGUCGCGAGCUGUAAUUUCGACCGAGCGGCAGUGACCUUUUGGGUCCCGGGGUUACUGACUGCUCUGAUCAUCGUGCCGCUGCACCAGAUCCACGUCAUCCGGGUCCGAUUCAUGUUGGCGAUGUUCAACCGCCACGAUCGCCAUGGGUCCAACGCAUGGAGCUUCCUUGUUUUGUUGACGGUGAGGAUUCGCUCGCUUGGAUCUACAAAGCCAAGCAGUUCUACUCCUUUUACAACACUCCGGCUGCUCAUCGUGUGUUUACUGCUUCCUUCCAUUUCGAUGGGGAGGUUUUGCAAUGGUUUAAACGGAGAGAUUGUUUGCAUACCACGCCAACAUGGGAGGAGUUCACUCAAGCCCUGUGCCUAGAGUUUGGACCACUUGAGUUUGAGGACACCGCUGAAACACUCUUUAAAUUACACCAUACAGGUACUUUGAAGGAUUACAUCUUUGAAUUAGGCGUUUGGCUAAUCGUACUCUUGAUAUUAGUCCUGUGUUGCUUAACAGUUGUUUCCUAUGAGGUUUGAAAUGAGAGCUUAAAUUUGAUGUCAAAUUGUUGAAAUCAACUACUGUGCAUGAUGCAAUUGCAAUUGUUGUCCAAUUAGAUACCAAACUAAAUGAGUUUAAGAAUAGUCAGGCUAAAUCCUCUUCUGUGUUGAAAAAUCAGUUGGUACCUUCCCCUGUUACUCCUCACACUACCCUUUAGAACAGGUAAUUUGGCAGUAAAAAAAAUUGACCCCUGAAGAAGUUCGAAGAAAGAGGAAGCGAGGGGAGUGUUGGUUCUACCAGGAUAAAUGGACCACGGGUCACAAAUGUGGUUUAAAACAGCUUAUGAUGCUGGAUUUACUGGAUGGAUAAGUUGAUGUUCUUACUGAAGAACAGGUAGAGGCUCCUGAGUUGCAUCAUAUGGCACUUAGUGAGUGUGCCUUUUAUGGUAUCACUGCGAGCUAAACACUACAAAUAAUGAAAAUGGACGGUCUGUUGCAAGGUCAUUAUAUUAAGUUAUUAUUAGAUUCAGGGAGUACUCACAAUUUCGUGGACUCCAAGCUCAUAAAACAAUAGGGUUAUCAUGCUCAGUUCACAAAGCCUUUUGAAGUCAUGAUUGCAGAUGGGGGACAAGUGCGUAGUUCGGGAUGUUGUAAGGUUAUGCCUCUGUCGUUGGGGGGGGGUUAUGAGUGUACGGUGGACCUUUAUGCUUUGCCAUUAGGUGGAUGUGAUGCAAUGUUGGGUGUACAAUGGCUCUUGUCAAUGAGCCCGAUUUUAUGGGACUUUCAGUCAUUAACUAUAGAGUUUUCCAAGGGCGAUCAGAAGUUCAAGUUGAUUCAUAGUCCUCCAUAGGUUCCAUUCAUUCAGGAACUAUCCUUGCAGCACAUAGACAAGGAGUUUCACAGUUCUAAUCUUAGUAUAUGCCUUUAUUCAUUGGAGAAUAAUAAGUUGGAGGUCAGUAAUCUUAAUUCUCACCAAUUGCUGGAGUUACAAGGACUGUUAAGAGAGUUUGAAAACAUCUUUGUGGUACCUACCAAGCUGCCACCUUCGAGAACCCAUGAUCAUUCUAUUUCCUUAGCCCAUGGGGUUAAACCUCUUAACUUAAGACCCUAUCAUUAUGGUCCCAUUCAAAAAAACGGAGAUUGAGAAAGCUGUGAAGGAACUUUUGGAUGCAGGAUUUAUAAGGGCAAGCCAUAGUCCCUUUUCAUUCUCCGUACUAUUAGUCAAGAAGAAAGACAACACUUGGAGAAUAUGCAUUGAUUAUAAGGAAUUGAAUGCUCUCACAAUCAAGGACAAGUACCCUAUCUCUCUCAUUGAUGAUCUGUUGGAUGAAUGGCAUGGUUCCAAUUAUUUUUCUAAGCUCGAUUUGAGGUUGGGGUACCAUCAGAUAUUAAUGAAACCUGAGGAUGUGGGAAAGACAACCUUUAGAACUCAUGAGGGUCACUAUGAGUUUUUAGUGAUGCCCUUUGAUCUUACUAAUGCGCCAACAAUCUUUUAGAACUUGAUGAAUGACUUGUUUAAACCAUUCCUUAGGAAGUUUGUGCUUGUUUUCUUUUAUGAUAUACUCAUCUAUAGCACAUCUUGGCUGUAACAUUUGACACAUUUAAGGGAAAUAUUCAAAGUCCUGCACCAGAAUCAGUUGUAUCUUAAGAAGUCUAAGUGCUCAUUUGGUCAAAGUAGUGUGGAGUACCUUGCACAUAUAGUAUCUAAGGAGGGGGUGGCUGCUGAUCCAUCUAAGCUCAGAGCAAUCUAGGAAUGAUCUCAACCAAGAAAUGUAAAGGAGUUAAGGGGGUCUUUUGGGGCUUACUAGGUAUUAUCGAAAAUUCAUUCCCAACUAUGAAAAGGUCUGCCAACCCUUGUACAAUCUGACUAAAAAAGAUGGUUUUGAUUGGAAUAAUUCGUCUACUGAAGCCUUUGAACAACUCAAAAGAAUUAUGUCUUCACCACAGGUCUUAGCACUUCCAGAUUUUACUCAAACUUUUGUAGUAGAAUGUGAUGCAUCUGGAAAUGGUAUAGGGGUUAUUUUGCAACAAAAUCGAAAGCCAGUUGCAUUCUUUAGUCAAGCACUUAAGCCUAAGAAUCAGGCACUUUCCACUUAUGAAAUGAAGCUUAUUGCCAUAGUUCAUGCAAUAAGGAAAUGGCAAAAUUAUUUGCAAGGGAGACACUUCAUUAUAAAAACUGACCAUAGUAGUUUGAAGUACUUUUUGGGGCAGAGAACCAACACUCAAUUCCAGCAAAAAUGGGUAUCUAAACUCCUCAGUUUUAAUUAUGAGAUCCAAUACAAAAGUGGAAAUGAAAACACCGUUGCAGAUUCUUUAUCUUGAAUUCCAAAUCAUCAUGAUAUUGUUCCUGAGGACACUAUGGUAUUAACUGCCAUCUCUUACCCUUACUUUGGGUGGAUGGAUGAAUUAAGAAGAUAUAAUGAGAGUGAUGCUUGUAUUGUGGACAAGAUCAAGGAGGUCACUGCAUACAAAUUCAAGGACACUACAAACUCUGCCUUAGCGAAAUAUUCUGUUGAUAAUGGCUUUUUAUGCUAUAAGAAGAGGAUAGUAAUUAGCCCAAAUUCCCUGUGGAGAACCAAGCUUAUGGAGGAACACCAUUGCACUCCAAUAGCAGGUCACCAAGGUGUAACUAAAACUUAUUAGAGAAUCAAAAUGGGAUUUUAUUGGCAAGGGAUAAAAGGGGAUAUAAGGAAGUUUGUGGCUAAGUGUGCCAUAUGCCAACAAAAUAAGUUUGAGACCAUUACACCACCUGGAUUGCUACAACCCUUACCUUUACCACAAAGGGUUUGGUUUGAUAUUAGUAUGGACUUUAUAGUGGGACUACCUAAUUGCAAGGGCAAAUAAGUUAUCAUGAUCAUUGUGGAUAGGCUCUCCAAGUAUAGCCACUUUAUUACACUUGCUCAUCCAUGUUGGAAAUGUGCCCUAAAACCAAUCAUAUGAUGAUACUUUACGGACAUUUCACAUGUUAAACUAAUCUAGUUUAAUAUCAAGGGCAAAGAUUAUUGUUUGAGCCGUCUCAUAUAAAUGUUAUACGUUUAAACGAUAAGUCCAAGGAAUAUGUGAUUGGGAGAAUGCGAUCUAAAGAAGUUAGAUUCAUGAGACCAUUCUUUCGUAGGCAUAUCCUAAACGUUCCUGAUCUUAGGAUUGCCAAUUGGGCAUUGACAGUCCGUUAAGAUCAGUACGUGAUGUGUCUUCUCUCAGGGAGAGUGACUAGUCUCGAGUCAUUGGUGUGUGUGAUAUCAAGACAAGCAUAUAGGUGCUCAAUAAUGAAUGAGUCCACUGAACACGAUCAACGAGGAGUUCUCAUACUCAUGUCACAUGAGAACUCAUGGUUGGGAUAAUGCAAAGUAGUCCUUUGACCUGAGGCAUCAUAGUUGUCUUGUGGUUAAGUCAUUGAUCUUUGAUUAUGUUAAAGUCACUUCAUCAGGAGGGUGUCCACGGCAUCGUCGGGGUUAAGCCACUUAGCCAUGGAGGCAAGUGAAUGCGCAACAAGGGAUCUCUAACCUUCAAACCGUUUGGGGGAGAAUACUCUAUGAUAUGAUUAAGAAUCUUUAGCAAGAGUAUGAAUGAGAUUUAGGAAGUCGUUCCAAAUCACAUUCAAGGUAAUCAUAUAAGCACACGAAUCACAUUGGAUAGUAGACAUGAAUAAACUAUCAAACCAAACAAUGUGGUCAAGAGUAUUGUAUUAAAAAAAGACCGUAUUGCAUUUGUAAUCUGGUAGGUAUAAAAGCACACCACAAAGUAGCACACAAAUAUCCUAUUAAUUUUCCUUAUUAACACUAAAAUUUGUCGAUUGUAGCAUAUGAAAAUAAGGGUUUUUUCCGCAGAAGAUUGUUUUAUCCAAAUACUUAAAAUGUUACAAAAACAGGGUGGCUGUCUCCACUGACCAGCCACCGAACAAUAAUUAUUAGACUAACUUACACUUAUCCAAAUGCAACGAAAUUUUAUACACAUAAACUAGACACACCAAGCUAUGCUCACACAAAUUUUUGGGAGUUUUGGAGUUGAUUAGCUAUUUAAAUUAAAUCGGACAAAACAGGACCUCAACAAGUUUUAAAUAAUACCAAUAGAUUUUAAUUCACAAGUUAAGAAAACGAGUUAGGGGAAUUGUUAUCCACCACCAAAUAAUCAUGCAAACAUGUUAUGUUUCAUUCAAAUUCCUUUUAUUUCCGGAUGAAGAUGCUCAAGUUGGCUCAAUGUUAGAACACAACUUAUUAUUCUUUCUUACGUAGUAUGUUAAGAGAAUGGCGUUUUCAACUUAACUUAGUCCCUAACAUGCAAUCUAGAAUGGCGUGUUCAUAGAUUUAACAAGUAGAAAUCAUUAAGAAUAAAAAGAGUUUGAGUCAUCACAAGGCAUCGUAAGUACUGGCGUUGUCUUACUUAUCUUAGAAAUCGGUUCACAUGUUAACCACAAUUAACAAGUGCUACUCUAGAACAUAUGUAGGUCCUCAUUCAACAAGGGCAGGUAAACAUAUAUUCAUAGCAUUAAAAUCCUAAAUAUGCUCACUAUGUAUGCAUCCAUAGAAACACAUAAAGAAUUUAUCAAUGACAUAAGUAGUGAAACAAUUUUCAUCCUUUCAUAAAAGUCAUUCAAACAAAAUAUCACAACAAACUUACAAUCAUAUUCGGGGCUUCAAAACAGCCCCUAACUACUAAAAAUUAGUUACACAUUAUUCUCAAAUUAAACCAAAAGUAAAACAUGGGUUUGAGAAGAUAAAACCAAGAAAUAUAGAGUGAAGCCUCUGCUCUCUGCCGUGUUUCUGCUUGUCUGCCCUCUGUCUUCUUUUUUUUUUCUUUUCUGUUUUACUCCCGCUCUCCCCGUCAGUCUCCUCUCCCUCUCGCCUGCCAAUCUCUGCUUCUGUGCCUGCUAGUCAGUUUCCCCUUCUCACUUUCCGCACAGUUCUCUGCUUGUUUCUGUCGGUCUGUCAGUUCUUCCGCACAGUUUUCUGUGCUUCUCUGUUUCUCACCUCCCCCUUCCUGCUUCUCUGGCUUCUUCUUAUUUCCGUUUUCUGCCUCUGUCCCCGUGUCAUGCACUCCUAUCUUAUUAUUAUUUUUCUUCCACUCCUCUCUGUCUUCCCACUUCUUUAUUUUCUUAUUCUUCUUUCUCUGCGCACUGCUGUCCGUCCCGCACUUGUCUCUCCACUCCCUCUUAUUCUUCUAUUUUUCUUUUCUUUUAUCCCGCCAGUGCACUCCAUAUCCUCUGUCCCGUUUGCUGCCUUCUGCCUCUGUCAUUAUUUUAUUUUCUUUUUCUUCCUCUUUCUGCACUACACUCCACUUCCUCCUAUUCUUAUUCUUUAUGCCGUGUCUCCCAUCAAAUUCACAUUUCCCUUUGUUUAUUCAUGCCGUGCUUUCCUUUCCGUCCCAUUUAUUUUCUAUUGCUCUUAUUUUUUCUUGAAAUUGAUCCUAAAACAAAUUUAACUGCACAUUAACACAAGGUAAGGUAAAAUGCCACAAUUUUAACACAAAAACAUCACAAAGACUUUAGAAAUGGAUGGUAUAAAUGCAUGAAAUAUAUGAGUGAUCAUAAUCCCAAACUGAAUAGGUUCUCCACCUCUUCUAAUUAGCUUGGGUAACCAUGAUAUGCUGCUAGGUGUCACUCAUGGUUUGUGGAAGCCCUAAACGUGUAUAAUCACUAAAGGGAGAAUUGAAAGUAAGUUUCAAUUCACAAUCGAUUUGAAAUGGUUUUAAUCGCCCACUGCCUCGCUAAAAGGAACCUAAUGGAUCGUACACCGUGUAAGGUGAAAAUUGAAGAAACAAUGGAGAUGAGUAAGAAUAAUUAAAUGGUUUAAUUAUUUAUGGCAAAGAUUAAUUAAUAUGUUAAUUAAUCAAACGAAUAAGUUCGUUAAAGACCUCGGGAUAGUUUUGGACCUUAAGGCCCAAUGGGCUUCGAACGUCAAGCCCAUUGAAUUAAGUUGUAUGACAACUUAAUGAAUAAUGAUUCACAAAUGCCCAAUUAGCCCAAUAAUACCCUAAGGUCGGCCAUUUAGAGAUUGAGUGAGUUUUGGACUUAUUUACAAGUUUGCCACUCCAAUGAAUCAAGGUAUAAAUAUGACUUUAUAGCCAAAAUUCAUUUAGGGUUUUCUUUUGGGGAAAGGAUGAGAACAUAAGCUCUCUUUUCUCUCUAAAGUGGCCGGCCUCCUUUGAGAGUUUAGCUAGCAAUCCUACUACUCCAAGGUCACUCAUUUUCUUCUCCAAUCUAACCUUGGUGAAGAGACUUAGAGGUUCUCAAUUUUGGAAACUUGGAGAACCAUUUCAUCCAUCUAAAUCUAUAGAUCUAAGAUGCAAGGAAUGAAGGCCCUCUCUUUGGGUGAUUAGCCUUUGCUUAUGCAAAGAGGAAUCUACAAAGGUAUAAUUUCUCAACUAACAAAUGUUGUUUUAAGUUGAGUCAAGGUUCACCAAUCUACUAGGCUUUGAAUUUCAUGGGUAAUGUUUUGUUUUUAAGUGCAUACAAGCAUGAUUCCGCCUUUAAUUUGUUAAUUGCAUGCUAUAGAUGUUGCUUAAAUGAACAUGUUUUUCACAAAAUUUCCUUCAAUCCCUACAAUGCAUCUACAGUUACUUAACUAUUCAUAGAACAUGUUUUCCGAUUGCAUGGUAUGCCUACUUCCAUUGUGAGUGAUAGGGAUCUAGUGUUUAUAAGUGGAUUUUGGAAAGUGUUCUUCAAACUCCAAGGUUCUAAGCUUUGUAUGAGCUCAGGUUAUCAUCCCCAAACUGAUGGAUAGACUGAGGUGAUGAAUCGAUGUUUGGAGACAUAUCUCAAGUAUUUUGUUGGAGAGCAGCCCAAGAAGUGGGUUCAGUGGUUGCCAUGGGCAGAGUGGUGUUUUAACACUGCUUACCACACCUCUUCGAGGUACACCCCUUUUGAAUUGGUAUAUGGUUAUCCCCCACCUCACAUUGUUCCAUAUGAGAUUGGUUCUACCAAAGUGGCUUAUGUGGAACAAAGUAUGAUUAAAAGAGAUGGCUUACUAGUUGUGUUGAAAAGUAACCUGCAACUAGCUCAAAAUCGAAUGAAAGUGCAGGUAGAUAAAAAGAUGACCGAGAGACAAUUUGAUGUUGGAGAUAUGAUUUACUUGAAGUUGGUGCCCUAUCAGUUGCAAUCUUUGGUGAACCAUAGCUAUUAAAAGCUGCAACCACAAUUUUAUGGUCCUUAUGCAAUCCUUGAGAAGAUUGGUGCAGUGGCAUACAAAUUGCAGCUACCUGAAGGGUCAAAAAUUCAUCUGAUGUUUCAUGUUAGCUGUCUUAAAAAACAGCUCAGAGAUAAUGUGAUUCCACAUAUUGAACUACCUAUGGUGACUAAGGAUGGCCUGGCUCAGGAAAUACCUGUAGCAAUUCUGUCUAGAAAGAUGUACAAAAAGGGGAAUACAGCAAGGGUUCAACUUCUAAUGCAAUGGAAUGGAAAUGAAGCUGUUGAUGCGACUUGGGAAGACUUUGACGAGUUCCAGAAACGAUUUCUAGAUUCUACAGUGUAACCUUGCGGACAAGGUUGUUCUGAAGGGGAAGGCAUUAUUAUGAUCUUGUGAUUACUUAGAUCACAAGUAUCAGGAAAUGGGACUAAAUAUAAUAAGUGAGUUAGGUUGAAGGGUUAUUUUGCUAUUUGUAAUUCUGUAGGGAAAGUUUGUUCACAAUUUCUGUUUUAUAUUGCCUUGUGGCAGGUUUCACAUGUGUAUUUGGCUACUUAUAAAGCCAUAUAUUCUCUCACUUGUUAGAAAAAUAUAAUACAAUUUUACCAAAUUUGCUUCUGUUGUUCCUCUCAUCUUCCUCCACCGCCAUAUCUGAUCUUGCAAGCAGGUUAAGGUCUGAGCCUCGCCGGAUGUUAUCAACUUCCUUGCUUUCAUUGAUUAUUUUUGUGUUUAUGCAUGUUGGUUUUUUUAUUUUAUGUAUUGUUUUAUUAAUUUUGGUUAUGUGGAUGGAUGAAUUAAGGAGAUAUAAUGAGAGUGAUGCUUGUAUUGUGGACAAGAUCAAGGAGGUCACUGCAUACAAAUUCAAGAACACUACCAACUCUGCCUUAGCAAAAUAUUAUGUUGAUAAUGGCUUUUUAUGCUAUAAGAAUUGGAUAGUAAUUAGCCCAAAUUCCCUGUGGAGAACCAAACUUAUGGAGGAACACCAUUGCACUCCAAUAGCAAGUCGCCAAGGUGUGACUAAAACUUAUCAAAGGAUCAAAAGGGAAUUUUAUUGGCAAGGGAUGAAAAGGGAUAUAAGGAAGUUUGUGGCUGAGUGUGCCAUAUGCCAACAAAAUAAGUUUGAGACCAUUACACCACCUGGAUUGCUACAACUCUUACCUUUACCACAAAGGGUUUGGUUUGGUAUUAGUAUGGAUUUUAUAGUGGGAAUACCUAAUUGCAAGGGCAAAUCAAUUAUCAUGAUCAUUUUGGACAGGCUCUCCAACUACAGCCACUUUAUUACACUUGCUCAUCCCUACAAUGCAUCUACAGUUGCUCAACUAUUCAUAGAACAUGUUUUCUGAUUGCAUGGUAUGCCUACUUCCAUUAUGAGUGAUAGGGAUCUAGUGUUUAUAAGUGGAUUUUGGAAAGAGUUCUUCAAACUCCAAGGUUCUAAGCUUUGUAUGAGUUCAGGUUAUCAUCCCCAAACUAAUGGAUAGACUGAGGUGAUGAAUCGAUGUUUGGAGACAUAUCUCAGGUGUUUUGUUGUAGGGCAGCCCAAGAAGUGGGUUCAGUGGUUGCCAUGGGCAGAGUGGUGUUUUAACACUGCUUACCACACCUCUUCGAGGUACACCCCUUUUGAAUUGGUAUAUGGUUAUCCCUCACCUCACAUUGCUCCAUAUGAGAUUGGUUCUACCAAAGUGGCUUCUGUGGAACAAACUAUGAUUGAAAAAGAUGGCUGACUAGCUGUGUUGAAAAGUAACCUGCAACUAGCUCAAAAUUGAAUGAAAGUGCAGGCGGACAAAAAAAGGACCGAGAGACAAUUUGAUGUUAGAGAUAUGAUUUACUUGAAGUUGGUGCCCUAUCAGUUGCAAUGUUUGGUGAACCAUAGCUAUCAAAAGCUGCAACCACAAUUUUAUGGUCCUUAUGCAAUCCUUGAGAAGAUUGGUGCAGUGGCAUACAAAUUGUAGCUACCUGAAGGGUCAAAAAUUCAUUCGGUGUUUCAUGUUAGCUGUCUUAAAAAACAGCUCGGAGAUAAUGUGAUUCCACAUAUUGAACUACCUAUGGUGACUAAGGAUGGCCUGGCUCAGGAAAAACCUGCAACAAUUAUGUCUAGAAAGAUGUACAAAAAGGGGAAUACAGCAGGGGUUCAACUUCUAGUGCAAUGGAAUGGAAAUGAAGCUGUUGAUGCGACUUGGGAAGACUUUGACGAGUUCCAAAAAUGAUUUCCAAAUUUUACAGUGUAACCUUGAGGACAAGGUUGUUCUGAAGGGGAAUGCAUUGUUAUGAUCUUGUGAUUACUUCGAUCAUAAGUAUCAGGAAAUGAGACUAAAUGUAAUAAGUGAGUUAGGUUGAAGGGUUAUUUUGCUAUUUGUAAUUCUGUAGGGAAAGUUUGUUCACAAUUUCUGUUUUGUAUUGCCUUGUGGUAGGUUUCACAUGUGUAUUUGGCUACCUAUAAAGCCAUAUAUUCUCUCACUUCGAAGGGUUAGAAAAAUAUAAUACAAUUUUACCAAAUUUGCUUCUGUUGUUCCUCUCAUCUUCCUCCACCGCCAUAUCUGAUCUUGCAAGCAGGUUAAGGUUUGAGCCUCGCCAAAUUUGGAUGUUAUCAACUUCCUUACUUUCACUGAUUAUUUUUGUGUUUAUGCAUGUUGGUUUUUUUAUUUUAUGUAUUGUUUUAUUAAUUUUGGUUAUGUGAUUUGAUUUUUGUUCUUCGUUUUACUUGGAUUUUGAGGUUUCCUUUCUGUUGUUUUUAGGUUUCUUUCCCUUUGCUAAAAUUAGAAUUGGCUAAAUUUUGUUGAUUUCUUUUUGUCUUUGUAGGAAAUUUUAGCGUUGUUUUUCUGGCUGUUAUAUGAUGGGUGACAGAUUGUGCUUUUCCAAUUUUUUGGUUUUGCAGCAUUUAACAAAUAGGUAACUAGCUUUGAGAUAUAAGGAGAGAAACUAAGGCAUACGAAGCAUCUAGAAACGGAGGUGUCGUGGCUUCAAACCCAGAAACAGAAGCAAUUGUGGUCGCAUCACCCUUGAGACUGUGGGUGCCAUCUGUGUGCACGCAUCAAAGGGUUUAUAAACAACCAAAGGAAUAUCGAAAACGGGUAUCCGUCUGAGGUAGUGGUCAAUAUUUCCCAAUAUUACUCUUCUUUGCUAUUUUGGGUUGACAUUAUCAAUAUGAUUUGCUUUUAAAUGUUUUUUUUUUUUGUUUGCUAUGAAUUUAGUUUCGAAUUUUGUGUUUGCAUAGAUAUGUUGGAAAAUAUGUGCAUUUGUAGAUGUUGGGGAAUCACAAGUGUUCUAGGUACUGAAUUUUGUCAAUUGUCUUUUAAUUCGGAUUCAUGCGAGGAUAUUCAUGCUUUGUAGAAUUAAUAAGUAGUAAAAGUGAUUGAUAAGCAUUGAACCCAGCAAAAAACUUUGCUUUUGAACAAAAUUGUGAUAGCCCAUAAAAAUACCUAUUCGGAAUAAAUAGCUGUUUCAUUAGGAUAUUUAUACCUUCUUUGUUGUGUCAUGCUAUAUUAAGUGUAUUUCGUCAAAAAUAUGUUUUAAUAAACUUUGAUUCCUAAAAACUUUUGUAUUAAAAUAACAUGAUUAUGUAUGAGGGAUCCUAUGGUUGAGUUUGUGAAUAUUUACAAUGAUGCUUUGUCAUCCAUUUUAUGUGUAUAAAAGUGCGACCUCCUCAGUCAAAUCCAAACAUAUUAAAAAUGAAAGAACAAAGAUGCAUUCAUACAACCAUCUAAUUCUACCAUUGUAGCAUAAACUGGAAUUAUUAGUAUUUUUUAAUGGUAUAGGAAUUUGUAGUCAGCAUAUCAUUUUCUGCAAGACUGAAGAUUAGUUUCUGGGCAUGAAGCCUUUCACGCCUAUUAAUUCUUUAGUUUAAUGACCGUUUGCAUCCUUAAAACUAUUUUUUAUGUUUGGUUGUCUUUUUCAGCAAAUAAUUAAAUUCAUAUAAAUUCUGUUACCUUCCGCCUUAUCAGUUUUGUUAUGUUUGGUUCAGCUUCAAUAUAAAAUGUGUUUGGCUGAGAGACUGUUGGUUAAACAGAAAAAAUUUCAUGGGUUUUAUGAGGUGUUUAAAUUUUACGCCCGCAACAUCGUGCCGGCACCAUUGCUAGUUAUUCCUUUAGUCUAAAGAAAGCAUUGGAAUUGUCACUAUUCCUUACUGUUCAUGCACCUGAAUUUCAGUUUAAUUACAUCCAUACCAUUGGUUUAAUGAGUGGGCUUUGUGGAAGUUUUGGGUUCGGCCUGGGGGCUUUUUUUUGGGUUUGGGCAGAUGGCCUUUUGCUGGUUUGGCCUAUGGCUGGUUUUAUUUGGUUGGUUUCGAUAGGGAUAGGAAAGCGGUGAGGUGAAUGUCGUGAGUCCAGUGUAGCUUGCAGAAUGGCAGGGAGUAGAGUAGAGAUGGAAGAGUCGUGGGUGAGAGAAGAGGAGAGGGAAGAGUCGUGCGUUUCAAACGGGAUGUGAGGAAAGACGGGAGGAGAGAGAGAGGGGUAGGAUGAGCGAAUCAAGGGUAGGGGUGCCUGAGAGUUUGGUUUGAAGGGUCGACAGCAAAGGGUGCGGAGAGAGACGGCGAGGCAAGUUGGGAAGACUAGGGGUAGGGUUCCUUUCGGGAUUUUGGUUCCAGCUGGAUGCCAUUUCUUCAACAAUUAAUGGGGAAGGCAUGGUUGCAUGCAGUUUCUGGGGUUGUGGGAGACAUUUAUGGAUUUUGUCCAAUGUUUUUAAAGAAGGAUAGAGAGUGAGAGGGAGAGGGCAGAAAGCAUGAUUUGAUUGAGUGGCAGGGAUAUUUAGAGGUUUUGUACUCUGAUUCAAUAGCUCAAACACUGUUUUUCAGUCAUUGUUUAUUGUUUGGUUUGUCAUUUGCUUUGUUAAAACUAUGAUUAACAUUUUAUUGUUUCGAUUAAGUUGUAAAGGAAUUUUAUAGCUCGUUUAGUUGGGUGUUAGGAAGAUCAAUCUGGUUAGUGCACUGUUUCGUGCACUGUUAGAGUCAGGUUUGUGUCUUUAUAACUUUGGUAGUUACACUGUGCUCAUUUCUCUGUUUCUUCAUGCUUUGCUCCUGUUUCCUUCUCAACAAAUCAAACUGAGGUUCCUUUCUGCUUUACAUCCUUUGAAUAUCUCUCUGUUACUGGUUGUUUCUCCAUACUUUGUUGCUUCUAUAUUUUUGUGAUAAGGGUGUUAGAAGGCUGUUUUAGUUGUUGUUUUGCUCCUCUGUUGAUAGAUUGUUUUUGCAAAUCUUGGUUGCUUAUGUAUUUCUGUUACUAGAUUGUUUCUCCAUACUUUGUUGCUGCUGUAUUUAUGUGAUAAGGGUGUUAGAAGGCUCUUUUAGUUAUUGUUUUGCUCAUCUGUUGUCGUGUUUAAUUUUGUUUUGUUUUGUUUUUUGCUUUAGGAAAUCGUGGUUCUUCAGAUUUGGGCAUUUUGUUUGCAGCCUUCAAAGCACUGUGUAUUUAAGGUGAGCAAAUUCAAGAUUUUAGAGUUUUGAUUUAGAGACGAUGCCUGAUAAAUUCGGUAGGAAAUUUGAGAUAAUACUAGGAAAGUUUUGCUCUUUUCUAAACUAGGUUGUUGGAUUCUUUUAUCUGGGAACAUUUUAGAUUGAAAACUGUAACUUUGUGCGAGGUUUCAUGAAAUAUAGGAAG
Molecule: long non-coding RNA, 13939 nt
Filed under: Malus domestica (apple)
Lineage: Eukaryota; Viridiplantae; Streptophyta; Magnoliopsida; Rosales; Rosaceae
Description: long non-coding RNA (MDOM_LNC002883)
Source: RNAcentral